GAUGAAGAACGCAGCGAAAUGCGAUAAUUAAUGUGAAUUGCAGAAUUUAGUGAAUCAUCGAAUCUUUGAACGCACAUUGCGCCCCCUGGUAUUCCGGGGGGCAUGCCUGUCCGAGCGUCAUUACAACCCUCAAGCUCAGCUUGGUGUUGGGCCCCGCCGCCCCGGCGGGCCCUAAAGUCAGUGGCGGUGCCGUCCGGCUCCGAGCGUAGUAAUUCUUCUCGCUCUGGAGGUCCGGUCGUGUGCUCGCCAGCAACCCCCAAUUUUUUUCAGGUUGACCUCGGAUCAGGUAGGGAUACCCGCUGAACUUAAGCAUAUCAAUAAGCGGAGGA
This 329-nucleotide unclassified non-coding RNA is filed under the name soil metagenome. Its description in RNAcentral is "partial contains 5.8S ribosomal RNA, internal transcribed spacer 2, and large subunit ribosomal RNA". The stretch from base 1 to 120 matches the Rfam family "5.8S ribosomal RNA", at positions 35 to 154 of the family's 154-position model. The record is from RNAcentral.